GCCCUUACUGCUCCCACAGCCAACAGAGGUAUCCGAGGGCAGAACACACUUGGAAACUGCAGGUACCAUAGGUAUGCUGGCACCACUUUGGGACAACAUAGGUUAACUUACCUGCAGAAAUGUUUUUGUAACUUGCACUUUCUGGACUUCAGUAGGCAAAGGGUAUAUAUUGUAAGCAGUAGCAUUUCUGACCUUCACUAGUGGUUAGGUUGUGUCAGGUUUGGUACGCCAGAGAGCAUACAGCUUGUAUAUUAAAUUUUAUAGCUCAGUUGUUCUCAAUACAGCACUUGCAGUCCGACUCUAAUUUUACUUGUGAUCUACUGUUCCUUUGUAUUUUUCCCUAGACUAUUUUGGUGUCACACAGAAGUAGGUACUGUGCUAUAUCUUUUUUCUCACAAAAGCAAAUUAAGUCAGUGGCAUUUGCUCAGUGUCCUCUUAAAGUCAUGCUUGAAUGUAGCAGUCACUGAGUUAGUUCUGGAGAUACCUGCUGCUAAUUUAAUACUUGGACAUUUAUUUAUCACAAUGGCUAUUACAAUGUGAUCAGGUUCCAGCUUGGUAAUCUUAAAAGGUGUUACUUUGUUGAGUAAUGAAAAAUGGGUUACAGCUCCAAGUGAGUAUGGCCGAUGUUUUUAUCUGUCUUGCUGAUAAUUUACUCGUCAAUAAAUUAUAAACAUAUGUAAUGUGUAAUGAGCCAUUUUCAGUUACAGUUCCUUCCUUUUUAGCUUGUGUGUUAAUUAGAUCCUUUUCCAGGUACUGGCACCAUGUGUAGCAAACACCAUUGUGCCCAGUAACACUCCUAGAUUUCUCAAGCAGUAGCUCCUCUAUUGCCAAGCCCCAGGUUAUAGGAGAGUAACUUGAGUUUUGUCAGCGUUCUGUUUUGAAGAUCUUUAAGGAGGUGUGUUUGCUUCUUCAUCUGUGAAAGAGAUGAAAUAUUUUACCAUGCAGUUACCUGAUCAUGUUUCAGUAACCAUUUUUUGACUUUGAAAAACCCCUCAGCUGGCGAUGAGGGUUCGUUGUGAGCUGGCUAUGUCACUGUACAGUAAACAUGAGCCUGCUGAAGUUAUCUUUUCAUAUUUUUCCUAUGCAACCACAGUGAUGGAGAUUGGGUAGGAAAGAAAGUGAGGGGGAAUUGUUGUAAUUUCUCCCAGAAUAGUCCUGUGUCAAUAUAUUCUCAUGGAAAUUCUGGAAUAAUUUUUCUGUCUUUUAGCUUUUAUUUGAAACUUGUCUAUAAAAAGGAAAUACUGCCAAUUUACCCAAGGAUCUAAUGUUCCAUAAUGUUCUCUUUUGAUUGUUAAUAAUAUUGUAAAUGCACUGAUAUUUACCUGCAGUCAUUGGACUAAAAAGGAAGGAAUAAGGAGGAUUAACAGGAUUGCUCCUAGCAGUGGUAUAAAGUCUACUUCAUGACUGUAGUAGUUGCUGAUUUUCAUGCAUAGUGUAUUCAGAACAGUUACACUGAAAAGGAAUCCUUGUAAAAAUAGGUCCCAAAAUGAGGAAGUAUGGGGGAUAAGGAGUCUUUCUAUUGACAGUUUAAUCUGCAGGUCCAGAUAACCCUGGAGACUUAAAGUUGAGUGCAACAAAGGAGAAGCUGUCAGUCCAAAAGUCUGUAAGACCUCAUAAAGUGUUUCUGGUCGCUAAUCAGUAGGAAAUGCCUAGUGAGAACAGAGGAGGUAGCUGGUUUGUUUAUAACAAUAAAUCUCAAAAAUCUUGAGCCACUUCAGGAAGGGUGAUAUCAGCCAGUGCCCAUUUGUCUGAGUUGGGUAGUAAGAUGGCUGUCAUGUUAAAGUCAGUUCUUUUAAAAUAAUGGAAAAGAAAACAUGGGAUUUCUUUCAUAAGGAAUAAAAGGGUAGAAAUGUAACUAGUACCAGUAAGUGUGGCUUAGGGAAAAAUUAUCUUGGUAGACACACCAAACUUCAUUACUUGAGUAGGUGAGAAGCUUCAGCACAACAAAAUUGUUUAGAUGGAGCAGACUUGGUUAAGGUGCUUCAUACUACACACACUGCCUCCUUUAGUUUUAGGAUCAUGUGUUAUAUGGCAUAAGAGCUGAUGGACUGACAGUUGUGAAGAAAAACAUAGCAUUGCAGAAAAAACCUAACAAUUGGAUUGUUCAAAGAGGUGGGACCUUAGUUAUGGCCCAAAACUCCUGUUGUGGUCUAGAAGUCAUCAUAGAGUCAUUCCUGUUUUUAUUUGUGACUGUGAUGAAGUUGCUGGAAUAAGUACGUAGAGAUGAUGAGGAAAAGACAAUAAUGCAGAAACAUCACACAGGCUGGAUUACUUUGUAAAUUGAACCACUUAGUAUGUUAUGUCUUAAUCUGUCCAAGUGCAAAAUUAAGUGUCUAGGAUUAAUGAAUGCAAAUCAUGUACCUGGAGGAUAUUUCUGAAUCCUGGAAAGCUGAAACUUUAGAAAAGAUUAAAGGAACUCAAUCACAAGACACCUCAAAACAGCCUCAUGUUCAUGUGGGACAGAAAGGGCUGGUGCUGUUUGCGUAUGCUCACAGUGGAGUAGGUAGUAGAAAUAACGUGAGCUUGCAUCUGCUGGGUGAUGCUUUUUAAAUAGACCAAAAACUGGAGAGGCCACAAAGAAUUAUAAAAGAAUAUGAAUGCUUAAAAAGUUGUUAGCUGUUUAAUACCAAUAAGAACAAAAAAAAAAGUAGACAUUAACUAUAUAGUUCUUUCCUGGUAAUAGGAAUUCAUUUCAGUCUAAAGAGAGACAUGGAUUGCCGGAGUUUAAACAAGAUAUAUUUGAGCAAAAAAAAGACUUUGCUUCCUAAGUGAUAAAUGGUGAUCAACCACAAGCAAAACAAUGGAUGGGAUGGGUCUUCCUCCCCACGAUGCCUUUACCUCCAGAUUGGAUGGCAUUUUCUGGCAUUUCUGCCCAAGUCCUUUGAUUCACAAAGGAGUGAGUGAAAUUUAAUGGCUUAUGCUAUAAAGAAAUUGAUAUUAGGCCAUCUUUUGUAAUCCUCCUCUGCCUUUUCACAAGUGGAAGCAGGUAGAGGUAUCUAGAAGAAUAUAGUUUCUUGGAGUCCUGUUUAUUAGUAGACUGAUGUUUUCUAUCUAAGAAUAGUUUCAAAUCAUUUUUUGGCUCUAUCAAAACAUGCUCAGGCCUAGUUACUAUUAAUAGACAAUAGAUUUUCCUGUCCAUUGCGUAGUCUUCACAGCGCUGUUUAGAAUUUCCAAAGAAUUGUCCAGACGUUAAUUUGUGUUUGUAAGUUAAAUUACUAUUAUUAUCCAAUACAAACCUGUGAAGACAGUGAUUUCGGUAGAGUCCUCUAGUGUACAUGCUGAAGUGCUUGCUGUCAGACAGCAAUGCCUGUUUGUCUCCUCUCUUUUUCAUUCUCAGACUUACAGAAUUGAUAUUGCAGAUAAUGCCAAGCCUUUAAUGGCUGUCUGACACCCUAUUCCUGGUUGGUUUUGCUGCUGGCUUGGGAAGGGUUCUUUCUAUGGCCACCACAAGUACAUACUGCCAUCACUAGUCCUUCAUUAUCUCUUAGCAACCAUUUGGUCCUUCACAAAAAAUGUCCCAGGCUAGAUGGUCUCAAGAGUUUCCAUGCAAGACCAAUAAAGAAUGGGCUGUGACCCACAGAAGGAAAUAUGGCAGGAAUUAUUGAAUCACAGCUUCUGUGCCUAAAAUGGCUCUGAAAACAAAAUAAGGUUCUGUGACUCCCCUCACCUGGGGCAAAAAUCACGGUGAGAAAACAGUUGCUGGAACCUCCCAAAGCAGCUCUGGUUAUUGCUGUCAGCUGUGACAGAGGCAUGUGGCCUUGCACAAAAUCUCGGUGGAUGAAGCAGAACCCCUUGAAAAUCCCUACAGAAAGGACAGGCCAAGUUAUCUGGAAUUCACAGGGUUUCAUCCAUGGUGUGAAGCGUUGCACUUUGUUAUGGCCAAGGAACCAACAUCAUGGAAUUAAGCAAAAUCAUAGCAAAGGAGAGGCACAGUCAGACCAAAAGAACAUGAGAUGCUCCAAGCUGUGAAGCGAUAAUAUGAGGAGUCAGGGCUUGCCAUCCAUUCUGGACAGGGGAAUGAGAGGCCUACAUGAUUAAUCUCUCUGGUUGGUAGGAGAUCCUAAGACUAUAAAACUGCCCAGGUCUCAAUCAGUGUAUGUCAUUCAUAGGCACCGAGUGGCAAUUGUUUAAUAACCUUGCAUUCCUCCCCGAAGGCACAGUUCACAGAAUGGUUUGGGUUGGAAGUGCUCUGAAAGAUCACCUAGAUGCAACCCCCUGCCACAGGCAGGGAAACUUUCACUACACCAGGUUGUUCGUCAUUAUUGGUGGCAAGCUGCUCACAAGUAGAGGCUUCUCUGUUAGUUAUCUGCCUCAUUGAAGACACACAACUCCAGGACAGUCACCUGCCAUGUCCCCUGGCUUCAGCAGCUGCCAGUCUUGGGUUUGCUGCAAGACCUGCUCCCACCAGGCAGUAUCCUCACCACGGAGCUUGAGACUGCAGCAGCUUGGUGUGCUGCCCAUCACCGGCCCCUGGGAGCCCGUGAAGGGGCUUUGACCCAUCCAUCUGCACUUUUUUGAUUGCUGGUGUUCAGGGUGCUCCCUGAGAGAGCUGAAGAAAGAACUGGCUUGGUGUUGGCAGGAAGCUUUAUGUAGUUUCUGGGAAGCAAGGCUUGGAAAGGGGCCCAGGCUGUCACAGUGCCUGUGUUUUGGGUAGCAUCUGGCCUGAUGUCUGUCAGAACAAAUGGCUGGCCACUGAGACAGGCACGUUCCAGCCAACACUACACAUGCAGACAAAGCCACCAGCUCGUUUCAGUCCAUGAUGCUUGGGGACAAAAGUGCCAUAUGCACUUGUCUCCAAUUCUAGGGUGAAUUUAGACAACCAGAGCUGGGAUGUGCACCGAACUGCCCGUGCAUACAGGCAGCCACAAUGCUUGGGAGCCAAAGGCUUGAGGGCAAAGAAAGAGAAUGAAGCUGUAAGAAAUACUUUCUUUGAUGAAAAUGUAGUUGCAAUGAAUGAAGUAGUGAAACAAAGAUUGACCUUUACAAUUAUGUGUUAGUACACAAAAUUCCUUUGAAGAAAUUGACACUAAAAAUGCUCAUUAAGUAAAGCAAAAUAUCUUUCAAAGGUUUUCAUGGCAUUAUAAGAAAUUAUUUUAUCAAGUCUCAGCAUAGACAAUGCUGGGAUCUGUGUAACCCUGAAAAAUAAGGUAGUGGAGGAAUAUCUGUGAAACAAGUAUGGCAGUGUUCAUUUGGUGAAAUUUCUUCAUGAUAAGGCUGGAAUAUUGGAUAGCAAAGGAGUGGGAAAUACACAAACUGAACAGUAAAACAUGAUCAGAGAAUCUUAUUUGUUGUUUGGUAUCUGAAAACUGUAUUUGAACUUAAACUUUCUAGUGGUUCCUACUUAUAAAAAAAGAAUAUUUAAAAAAUGUGUUCAGAUAUACCAGGCUGAUGACCAAUUGACAAUGCUUUUCAUUCCAAUAUUAACAUGUAUCUUAGAGAACCGUGUCCAGUGUAAAAAAUCCCACAGUGUUGGGACCCAGAAGAGGAAUGCAAGGCUCUUGUGUUUGGUCUGUCUGUGCUGUGCUACACAGGAUAUUUGUAGAGAAGGAUCAGAAGAGGGUCCAGAUAUUCAGUCUAUGUCUUUUCUCUUUCAGUUAUACGAGGUCAGUAGGUUGGAACUGACCUAAUAGGUUUAAAUCAGUGAAACUGUUGUAAGGCCAGUAUCUGUAGAGCUGCCUAUAUCUCAGAUAACCUCUCUACUUAAAAAUACCAGCAAUGUGCAGUGUAAUGUCACUUACUUUGAAGCUGACAUUUUGCAUUGUACAGGUUUUCAGUUGCUCGUAAAACUUUGCCAGCUUUCACAAGCCUGAAAUUUUCCCUAAGGGGUGUUGGCCUCGAAAUGAAUUUUUUGGUGAAGACUCCAGACACAGUUUUGUCAGCUGCCUCAGAUC
RNAcentral lists this long non-coding RNA (5891 nucleotides) under Taeniopygia guttata (zebra finch). Its description in RNAcentral is "lncRNA (ENSTGUG00000025477.1)". The record is from RNAcentral. Lineage: Eukaryota; Metazoa; Chordata; Aves; Passeriformes; Estrildidae.